Molecule: ribosomal RNA, 435 nt
Filed under: uncultured bacterium
Lineage: Bacteria
Description: partial 16S ribosomal RNA
Rfam family: Bacterial small subunit ribosomal RNA
Source: RNAcentral
AACGAACGCUGGCGGCAUGCCUAACACAUGCAAGUCGAACGAUUGCCUUCGGGUGAUAGUGGCGCACGGGUGCGUAACGCGUGGGAAUCUGCCCUUAGGUUCGGAAUAACAGCUGGAAACGGCUGCUAAUACCGGAUGAUAUCGCGAGAUCAAAGAUUUAUCGCCUGAGGAUGAGCCCGCGUUGGAUUAGGUAGUUGGUGGGGUAAAGGCCUACCAGGCCGACGAUCCAUAGCUGGUCUGAGAGGAUGAUCAGCCACACUGGGACUGAGACACGGCCCAGACUCCUACGGGAGGCAGCAGUGGGGAAUAUUGGACAAUGGGCGCAAGCCUGAUCCAGCAAUGCCGCGUGAGUGAUGAAGGCCCUAGGGUUGUAAAGCUCUUUUACCCGGGAAGAUAAUGACUGUACCGGGAGAAUAAGCCCCGGCUAACUCCGUG